This 781-nucleotide ribosomal RNA is filed under the name Lacticaseibacillus rhamnosus. RNAcentral describes it as "bacterial SSU rRNA". It matches the Rfam family "Bacterial small subunit ribosomal RNA", at positions 138 to 904 of the family's 1533-position model. Lineage: Bacteria; Bacillati; Bacillota; Bacilli; Lactobacillales; Lactobacillaceae. The record is from RNAcentral.
GGGGGAUAACAUUUGGAAACAGAUGCUAAUACCGCAUAAAUCCAAGAACCGCAUGGUUCUUGGCUGAAAGAUGGCGUAAGCUAUCGCUUUUGGAUGGACCCGCGGCGUAUUAGCUAGUUGGUGAGGUAACGGCUCACCAAGGCAAUGAUACGUAGCCGAACUGAGAGGUUGAUCGGCCACAUUGGGACUGAGACACGGCCCAAACUCCUACGGGAGGCAGCAGUAGGGAAUCUUCCACAAUGGACGCAAGUCUGAUGGAGCAACGCCGCGUGAGUGAAGAAGGCUUUCGGGUCGUAAAACUCUGUUGUUGGAGAAGAAUGGUCGGCAGAGUAACUGUUGUCGGCGUGACGGUAUCCAACCAGAAAGCCACGGCUAACUACGUGCCAGCAGCCGCGGUAAUACGUAGGUGGCAAGCGUUAUCCGGAUUUAUUGGGCGUAAAGCGAGCGCAGGCGGUUUUUUAAGUCUGAUGUGAAAGCCCUCGGCUUAACCGAGGAAGUGCAUCGGAAACUGGGAAACUUGAGUGCAGAAGAGGACAGUGGAACUCCAUGUGUAGCGGUGAAAUGCGUAGAUAUAUGGAAGAACACCAGUGGCGAAGGCGGCUGUCUGGUCUGUAACUGACGCUGAGGCUCGAAAGCAUGGGUAGCGAACAGGAUUAGAUACCCUGGUAGUCCAUGCCGUAAACGAUGAAUGCUAGGUGUUGGAGGGUUUCCGCCCUUCAGUGCCGCAGCUAACGCAUUAAGCAUUCCGCCUGGGGAGUACGACCGCAAGGUUGAAACUCAA